CCUGAGCCCCUCCCCUUACACACUGGGUAUAAAACUCUGAAACUCCCUGAACUCGGGGUUCAGGGGAUUGAUUGAUUACAGCAAAGGCUGUGCCCUCUGAACCUGGCUGCAGCCAAAUAAAACUGUUUCCUGCUGUCUUGGUGCCUUGCCUCGUUUGUCUCUACAACAUUUUUGGUGACCCAGAUGGGACCGAGGAGGUAAGGAAGGCUAUUGUGCCUCUCUUGUCUCCAGGGACCUGCUUCCCUGGGGCGAUGGGGGACAGUGGUCUCCUUGGCACGCCCAGGCCACUCUUGGCCUGAAGGAGGAUUGACUCACCCAGCGCCCUGGGGCUGCCACCCCAGAACACAACGGAACCCACAGGCAGCAAGAACCAGAAUUAGGGUUUUGGAGCACCGCCCAGCUGAACAGGUAGGACCCGGGUCCAUUUGGUUUUGCAGCCCACCUGACUUCCCCUUCGAGGCCUAAGCGGGUGGAAGAGAGGCUUGAUCACUCUUUGUUGGGUCCCAAGUACCCUCCAAAGAGGUUGGAGCUGAAAGGGACCUGGGGAGUCACCCGAGUAUUCUCUGUUCGGGGUCAGCGAGCAGAGGGGAAACUGUGACCCCCUUUCCGUUUGGUUUGGCAUUGUUGGAAUCUGGGCGGUGUGGAAAUUCUGUCCUGGCAUGUCUGUGUGAAAGUGUGUGAAAGUGUGUGAAUGAGACGGACAAAGGGAGGGUUCCGACCCAACCCGAGGGCCGAAGCGAGUGCAGAGUCCUGAUCCGCGGUUCGUGGCCCCUCAGUCUAUGGCGGGAUUUCACCAACCAAUGUCCAGGUGAAAGCUCCAGGUCAGGGCUGAUACCGACCCGCAAGGCCAAGAGGGCCCCAGGUCCCGCGAGGGGAGCGGCCGGAGAUGGACGAAGCGGAGUCUUGUCCUAAGUGUGUUCUGUUCUAAGUGUGCGACACCGAUGCAGGGUGGAACGUGGGAGGCACCUAAGGAAACCGAGCCUCUGGAAUGUGUGUGAGAAGCCUUUAGGAAGGUUUUCCUGGUGACUGUGGGUGAGAGUCACUCCCCAAAGGUGGCAUACUCUGUGAAUCAGAGUGGCCCACCCAAGAGGUGGGCUGGCCACCAGAGGAUCUUUAGAUGAGAGAGUCAUGGCUGAGGUCCUUUGAUUGCUGUUGGAACCCUGAACCAAUUCUCUUAUAUUGACUGCUGUCAAGAGAGAGUGCAGAAACAGCCCCCUUGGUUGAGAGCCUGUCUGGAUGGACAGUCCAAGCUGAUGUUGGCCAGGAGCACAGUGGUCUCUAAGACCCAGCAGAAAGCAGCUAACCAGAAAACCUGACUAGGAAAGACAGGAAGGGAAACAGUUUUCCCCGUGAGCCAGAAGAGGACCCAAGACCAACUUUGCCAAGACCACGGGGACAGCAGACUGUCCCCUAGCCUCCUUGUCCUCAGAGGCAACAAAUGAUGGCCCCCCCAUACUGGCUAUUCCUUCCUCUGUGAUGUCCUCAGAGCCAAUGGCUUCCUAGGACCAGAGACUCUUUCACCUCCCAAGAUGAAGGUGGGAGAUUUGUCCCAAGACCAGAGCCAUAACUCAGAUGAGAAUUCUCCAGCUGCCCCAGCAAGGGAUCAAAGGACCUGCCCAUGUUGGCCAGAAGGGAAAUGUCUGAGGGAGACAAAGCAGUUUUGUGUGCCAGCCUUUCUCCAGCAUUGAGCUCAUAAGCUGGAAAAACCAUCCUCCCUCCGACACGGAGAAACCCUGGGCCAUGAGUGAUCUGAUGCAGCCCAUUAUCCAGACCAGGGAUGGACCCCAGCAAAGAAGAAGUUCUAAAAUAAAGAGAUGUCAAGAAGCCCUCAGAGAAAGUGUAAAAAAAAAAAAAUAGAAAAAAAAAGAAGAAAACACACUGUCUGUGCCCAGGAGUUAGAAGGAGUCGGAGCCAGCCCUGAGCCCCAGCCUAAGCCGAGCGCGUCUGCAGACAGACAGAGCCCAGAUAAGCCUCCCAAUGCUCCAGCACCUCCCUCUGGCACCCUCCAUAGCCCUGAACAUUUCUCUGGGCCCCACAUCUGCCUAAGGCCCCUCUGCUGUAUGAAACUGGCAGCAAUGAUCAAAAGAGAGGUGCCCAACUGACUUGGAGCUAAAUGUCCAGGCCACCGCCGCUGCUGCCCCUCUCCCUGCCCAGAGGUGCCCGUGGGAGGAGGGGCACCAUGCAAAUACUGCAGCCGCAAUGCAAGUUUGUCAGUGAAGAAAUGUACAGGCGCAAGCAACAGGUGAUCAAUACAGCCUUUGUGGGACAGGCUCAGAGAGCCAUUUGCCAAAAAUUACAAUCCUAGAGCGCUUUACUGAGAAGUGUGCCAGUGAGCUGAUUAAGGUGGCCGCCACAGUUUUCAUCAGUCAAGACCCAGAGACUCAAAGACAGCCAGACCAGAAAGAUAAAGAGGAGGAUGGAUCUCCUUAUACCCCAGAGUUCACUCAAAGGGGGGUCUCACCAGUACAAAGACAAUGGUCCAAAGGUUUAUAAGGAAAAACAGCGUGGCCAGAUAAAAUGGGAAGCCUCCAGUGACCUCGGCGGGCAAGCACCCACUGCCAUGCUCAAAUGCUAAGCCUGGAACAGAGAAGGAGGGAAUGUUCCCCCCAGACUGUGGCCCCAGCCCCUCCUUUCAGUUUCUUCUCACUUGCUCGGAAGUUGAUGACUGACGAAUAUGGUAAGGGUCCCGUAGACCCACACAGCUGCAUCUGAUGCACGGGACCCAGCGCCUCAGGAGGGCUCAGCGGCUGCAAGCCUCCAAAUGAACCAGGAAUAUGUUCAUGUUAACCAGUAGUGGGCCAUAGGGUGCUCACUCCAAAAGGACAUGCCACCCUGGCUCCAAGCCAUAAGUGGAUAAACUGUGCCACCAGCAGGAAGGGCCACAGAGCCCCAUGCACCCAGGCAUACUGAACAAAACACAAGCAGGGCAGCUACUCUAUACAAUUAGAACAGGCUCCCCACCUGGCAGGAGGAGAAAGCCACACAGUCAGAGAGCAACACCUAGGAGGGCACAAUGUGGCUGCCACACCAGGACCUGCACGGAACCGCACCACUGCCCUCCAACCUUGGCAGACGGCCCACGGCGAGACUGACAUAGGUGCCUUUUAUACAAAUGACGUCCCAGGUCAUCAGUCUCUGCUAAGAUUUACAUUAGAUUUAAGAGUUGUAGAAUCCUAGCAGCCAAGAUCCUGCACGGGGAGAUAACAAAAAAAAAAAAAUUCCUGUAUCUUAAAGCGCCAGAGGCUCUACGUACACCUCCCUUCCCUAAAUGACAGUUUCUCCCAGCUUGGGUACACCGUCUUUGCGAAAGCACUGGACUCUAACUUAGAAGUCCACAUCUAUCAACAAAAAGUCAAAUACCUUGGUUACCAUCUGACACAGCAACAGAACAAAACAACCACUGGGCCUCAAAAGAAACAGGAGAUCUGCUCAAUUCCAGUGCCUUCAACCUGCCAUCAGACUAGAGAAUUCUUGGGGGCUACUGGGUUCAGCCAUAUAUGGAUUCCUGACUUUUCAGUCAUGGCAAAACCCCUCUAUGAAGCCACAAAGGGGGGUGAAUGAGGUCCUCUGAUGUGGGGGCCAACUAAGCAAAAGGCCUUGGAGGACAUUAAACAAGCACUCACCAGUGCACCUGGACCAGGGCUCCCUGACCUCAGGAAGCCUUUCUUUCUCUAUGUCCUUGAUCUGUCAGGAGUGGCUCUGGGAGUUUUGACUCAGAUGCUGGGGACAUGGCACCAUCCAGUGGUCUAUUUGUCCACAAAGCUGGACUCUGUAGCCCAGGGCUGGCCACCUUUUUUCGGGGCCCUUGCAGCCACAGCUCUUCUGGUGUUGGAAGCUGAUAAACUGGCCAUGGGACAAGAACUGGUUGUCAGAGUUCCUCAUUCAAUUUUGACAUUGUUAAAAUAUAAAGGACACUAUUGGUUGACUAAUGAAAAAAAAUGGCCAAAUAUCAGGGCAUGUUAUGUGAAAACCCACGUAUCCACAUUGAGGUCGUCAGAACUCUAAACCCAACCCCUUUGCUGCCCAUUGGACCUGGAGAACCUGAUCACAAUGUGUUGAGGUCAUGGAUGAAGUGUUCUCCAGCAGACCAGACCUAACAGACCAGCCUCUCAAGGACGCUGAUGCAGAGUACUUCACACAUGGAAGCAGUUUUAUAAAAGAUGAGGUAUGUUUUGCUGGAUACGCAAUGGUCACUCUGGAUUCCACUGUCGAGGCAGAACCUCUGCCUCAGGGAACUGCAGCACAAAAAGUAAAACUUAUUGUUCUGACUCAAGCACCUCAGUUGACAGCAGGAGUCUGUGUGGAUAUUUACACAGACUCAGAAUAUGCGUUCACUACCCUUCAUGUUCACAGGCCUUAUGUAGGCUAAUUAACUCAGGAGAAAAAAAGGGGGGGGCAUGAUGUAUGGGCAAGAAAUUCUUACACUUCUGGAUGCACUGUGGGCUCCCGGGAAGGUUGUGAUUAUAUAAUGCCAAGGUCAUUGAAAGGAAAACACUGUGGUUUCUCAGGGCAACUGAGGAGCUGACAGAGAGGCCAGGUUAGCUGUCUGCAAAAAAUGGGAAGAAAAUCGAGGCCCAGGUCUAAAGGCUGCCCUUCUGCCUGGCCGACUAGCUAACAGAAAGGGAGCCAGCACACUCCCAACAUGACAGUAAGUGAUUUAAGACUGAAAAAUCUUUUUCUCCCAGGUGCAUGGUGGAGAUUUUCUGAUGGCCGGCACAGCCAUCUCGGAGAAUCUAGCCCCAGCCUUUAUCACACAAUUUCGCAGGAAAAUAUGUUGGACAUACAGCACUUGAGACAGUUCUGAGUCAACAUUUCUAUGUCCCCCAGCUCACAAGCAUCACCUGGAUGAUCUGCAACAAUGUGAGGUUUGUGCUCACAACAAUCCUUGUCAGGGGCCAGAGCUUCUACCAGGUGCCUUGCCUCAUUUGUCCCUACAACACAACCUCCUAAAGUCUCCACCACCUCCCAACAGUGCCACCAACAUGGGACCUAGCAACCAACAUUUGAGUCUUUGGGAAGCAAUUCAGAUGCAAACUAUAAUAUUUUCCUCAAAGGAAACACUAAAAGUAAGAGGUAGCUCUCACAUUUUAAAAUUUUAAGAGUCCUUUAAAAUUUCAUGUCAAAUUCACAUCUUAAAAUCUGGCUCCGAUUUAGCAAACUGCAUGUUCCCAGGUUUCAAAGUAAACCCCACAUUUUGUAAAAUAUCAAGCAAUGCAUCAACAUUAACUUUGCAUAAUUGUACAAAUAUAUUUAAAAUCUUUAACUCUUCACACUUUUUCUUCUGACUAUACUUAGAUUGAUUUUUUAAAAAGUCACCAGCUCAGGAGGCUAAGAGACGAGACUUGCAAGUUCAAAGCCAGCCUCAGGAACUUAGUGAGGUCCUAAGCAGUUUAGCGAGAACCUGUCUUAAAAUAAAAAUAAAUAAUAAACAGACAGAUAGAUAAAAAGGGAUGAGGCUCAGUGGUUAAGGACCCUUCGUUCAAUCUUAGGAAAAAAAAAAGAAGUUAUUUGCCAAUGGGUACCCAAAUAGAUAAAGUAAUAAGUUUGAGUAUGCUACAGGAGAGGGAGGGGACUAUAGUUCAAAAUAGCCUAUCGUAUAUUUUACAAAUCAAUAGAAGAAAGGAGAUUCAAGGCUCCAACAGGAAGCAAUGAUAAGGGAUGGAAGUAUUAAUUACCUUGAUUGGGUCAGUACACUUUGUAUGCAUGUAUUGCAAGAUCACACUUGUUGGGAGUCUCCCUGAGAACUCCCCGGGGCCUGUCAGACAUGGCCGGGGGCAAAUUGCCAGUGGGCGGCUAGAACUCCCUGGGCCUUUCAGAUAAGCAACAUGGAGCGGGCAAGUUACCAGUGGGCGGACAACAUGUUAUUUUGAAAAUUUUCUAAUUGGCCCUCCCGUCUUCCCCACUAGUGAAGUGUUCGUGAUCCCCAUGAAUCUUAUGCAGGGCGGACAUGCGUGCACAAUAGGUGAUGACCUGACCUUUACUAUGAUUGGCCCUGGGAGCUUUCUGGUUUAAGAUAACUGACUCUCACUUUCUAUAUAAGCUAGCACCAGCUUGCAGUAAAGUGCAUCUUCUUUGUCACUGCUAUCUGUGUGUGGGCAUUUUAAUCUCUGACAACGAGCCUUGGCCUUUCAACACUGAACACUGUAAAAUGAUGCAAUUAUUGCAGGCUAAUUAAACCAUUUAAAUUAACUUUUAUUGGCACAUUAUAAUUACAGGUACUAGUGGGACUCACCACAACAUAUUUGUACAUGCACAUAAUUUGGUCAAUUUUUUUCCUUGCACCUCCCCUUUCUGCCCUUCCUCUCCCUGGGUCCCUUCCCAUGUCCUCUACUCUACUAGUUUCCAUUUUUUUUAACUGAGGCUCAAACACAGGAGUGCUUUACCACUGAACUACAUCCCCAGCCCUUUUUCAAAUUUUUUAUUUUGAUAUAAGGUCUUCUUAAGUCACUUAAAGCCUCAUAAAUUACUGAGGUUGAUCUUGAACUUGUAAGCUUCCUGACUCGCUGGAGUUGGUGUGUGCCCCUGUGUCUGACCUGUUCUUCCAGGAGGCAGCUGCUACAUGUGAGAAACAGCCUGUGUGUACAGAGAUGAGCUGAAUUACUAAAACAUAUAAAUCUAUUAAAUAGUCCGUGACCCUCAAAGCUUUUUCAUCUGGAAGAAAACUCAGACAUUUACAAAGACAACUCAACCAGGCAGAUGAUCCUGAGUGACUUAAAAGAAGUGCAGGAGGGCAUGGAAGUAGAAAUAGGAGAGAUUGCUUUUCGGGGCUCUCAGGAAGCCUCUUAAAGUACUACUUCCUAUGGAGUUUGCACCAUGAUUGAGACACUAAACAGAUGAUCAGGUAAGUGAACAAGGCACAGGAAUGACUGGAGCCACGACGGUGUCAAGUAAAUGGCUCUUUCACAGACACAGGAGCCACAGACAAUGUGUUGGUGGAAGUCAUAAAACAGGAACUGAGCAUAAAGCGGCAACCUGGAGACUCCCAGAUGGCGGAGUAGAGGAGAACCUGUUAUCGGUGCGACUCCGAGUGAGUGGCCAGACGUUUUCCCUCACGGGGCUCUCAUUCAGGAGGCUAAGCUUCGUGGGGCACGUGGCAGGAUUUAAACAGUGGUCUGUGGCAAGGCGCCCAGGACAUGGGGAAGCCGGCCAGCAUGGCGGAGCUGGGACCCGCGCAGAUGCAGAGUGGAGCCCCGCAGAGUUGUGGCAGCUUGGAGACGCAGGGUCACUGACCCUUCAGGGCUGGAGUGGGUCAGACUGUGACCCGUGCCGCCACAGGGCAGCGGACUGAGGCCCAAAUCCUGGAGGCAGCUAGGAACAGAAGAGCCUGGCUCCCUGCACCUCAUGGACGCCCUGGCAUGGCAAUGGCAGCUCCAGGAAAAUGUACCUCUUCAGCUUUGGGCAGAUGCAGCAGACAAUGCAAUGGCAUCUCAACAGGUGUGUGAGUCCCCGCCCACCCCCGCACCCAGCUGUGGUAACUCAGAACCUUUCUCCCCAGCUCCCGGGGCGUGGCUAGCAGAGGGAAGGCCACAGAACAGGCUGCCUCUCCAACUCCCCUCUCCACAGCUGCGCGACUUGGUGACUUGGUGACCACCCCACACAGAGGUAGCGCUCAGCUGAUCAGCAGCACAGGGCUCCGCAAGCCCCCAGUGAACCCAGGGCUGCCGACAAGAGAUCCAUCCACUGGGCCUGGUGGGCAGGAGAGGGGAGGGGAUAGAGACCAGGAGCAGCCCAAAGAGAUGGGAUUGGAGAGGGAGAGCUGCCCCACACCCAUUGCUUCCCCCACCCUGAGGGCAGAGACUCAACCUGGAACGUACUGGAAGAGAAGAAAGCAGAAUUCUCAGAGUGCAUUUUUUUUUUCCUUUUUCCUUCUUUCCUUUUUAUCUUUCUCUUAUCUCUUUUCCUCUCUCUUUUUUCAUUUUGCUGUAUCUCCUUUACCCCCUUUUUUCUUCUUCUUUUCUUUUUACUUUUAUUCCUCCUUCUCUUCCUCUCUCAACCUCCCAAGUGUUACUACUUCUACUGUGUGUAAUUUACUAAAUGCAAAUAGGUGUUUGUUUCUAUGCUUCUUUUUGUCCUCCCACAUACUUAACUAUCCUAAAAUACCUCCUGUCUAUUCUCCUGUUAAUAACCCCCUUCAUUAGAGCUCUCCUCCAAAGUAGCUAAGAUAUAUUAACCUCAUACCCUCACAUCUUCCCCCCUAAACAUAAAGUCCUACGACCGACCCUCAGUUCUCUAUACGCCACCAGAAACUGUAUGCCUUUUAUGAAGCUAAUGAAUAUAUUUUAAAUUAUAAUUGAAGCCAACAUCUGUAGACAUAGAGACUUACUAUAAAUAUAUUAAUAACAAAAACUAGCUCAUAAAGUGUAUAGUUGAUAUUGGGAACUGUUUACAUUGUCUCCCCAUCACAAAGGAGAGAUCUCAAACUAUACAAGAGCAAUACAAAUCUAUAGGAGAAAAACAAUAACACUACAGUCAUACAGAGCUGGAAAGAAACGUGAAAAACAUGAAAAGACAGGGAAAGAAAGGACCACAAACAAUGCAGGACAAUUCAACAUUAGAGGAGGUACAGCUAUAGCAGAAAGAAUGUCAGAUAAAGAUUUCAGGGUAUACAUGGUUCAGAUGAUCUGGAAUCUCAAGGAAGACUUUAGAUAGCAAAUGCAGACAACGAAAGAUAACUUUGACAAUGAAUUACAUAAACAAAUCCAAGAAGCAAAAAUAUCAACUCUACAGGGAGAUAGAGGUCAAACAAAAAAAAAAAAUCCUGGAAAUGAAGAAAAUAAUAAACCAAAUUAAAACUCAAAUGAGAAUAUCACCAGCAGAAUAGAACACAAAGUAAAUCAUCUCGAAAAGAGUGUAGACAGCACAGAGAUACUGAUAAGAAACCCGGAGCAGAACAUUCAAGAAAUUUGGGAUAGCAAAAAAAGACCAAAUUUAAGAGUUAUUGGGAUAGAAGAAGGUUAGAGGUUCAAACCAAAGUAAUGGGCAAUGUGUUCAAUGAAAUAAUUUUAGAAAACUUUCCAGACAUGAAGAAUGAAACGGAAAUCCAAAUCCUAAGAGCCUACAGGACGCCGAACGUACAAAACUACAAGAGAUACACACCCAGACACAUUAUAAUGAAAAUGCCCAACAAUACAGAAUAAGGAGAGAAUUUUAAAAGCCACAAGAGAAAGGAAGCAGAUUACAUUUAGGGGUAAACCAAUUAGGUUAACUACUGAUCUUUCAACACAGACUAUGAAAGCUAGAAGAUCCUGGAACAACAUAUUCAAACACUGAAAGAUAAUGGGUUCCAACCAAGAAUCUUGUAUCCAGCAAAAUUAAGCUUCAGGCUUGAAGAUGAAAUAAAAUCCUUCCACUUUAAACAAAAGUUAAAAGAAUUUGCAGCUAGAAACUGGUGCUUCAAAACGUCCUUGGCAAAACAUUACAUGAAGAGGAAAUGAAAAAUAACAAUGAAAACCAACAGUGGGAGGUAGUACAAUAAAGGAAAAACUAAUCAAAGAGGAAAAACAAAUCAACUUAAGUAACAAAAAUAAACAAAUAUGGCUAGAAAUACAAACCAUAUCUCAAUAGUAACCGUAAAUGUUAAGGCUUAAACUCACGAAUCAAAAGACAUAGGCUAGUAGGCUGGAUUAAAAAAAAAAAAGAUCCAGCAAUAUGCUGCCUACAGGAGACUCAUCUGAUAGGAAAAGACAUACACAGACUGAAGGUGAAAGGUUGGGAAAAAUCAUACCACUCACAUGGACCUCAGAAACAAGAAGGGGUGUCCAUACUCAUAUCAAAUAAAAUAGAUUUCAAGCCAAAGUUAAUCAAAAGGGAUAAAGAAGGACACUACAUACUGCUCAAGGGAACCAUACACCAACAAGACAUAACAAUCAUAAAUAUAUAUGCCCCAAACAAUGGUGCAGCUAUGUUCAUCAAACAAACUCCUCUCAAGUUCAAGAGUCAAAUACAAAACAAUAAUCAUGGGUGAUUUUAACACACCUCUUUCACCACUGGACAGAUCUUCCAAACAAAAGUUGAAUAAAGAAACUACAGAACUCAAUAACACAAUUAAUAACUUAGACUUAAUUGACACAUAUAGAAUAUACCACCCAACAUCAAGCGGAUACACUUUUUUCUCAGCAACACAUGGAUCCUUCUCAAAAAUAGACCAUAUAUUACGUCACAGGGCAACUCUUAGCAAAUAUAAGGAAGUAGAGAUAUUACCAUUCAUUUUAUCUGAUCAUAAUGGAAUGAAAUUGGAAAUCAACAAAAAAAUAAGGAAGAAAAAGUCCUACAUCACAUGGAAAAUGAACAAUAUGCUACUGAAUGAACAAUAGGUUACAGAAGACAUCAAGGAGGAAAUUAAAAAAUUCUUAGAGGUAAAUGAAAACACAGACACAACAUAUCGAAAUCUCUGGGACACUAUGAAAGCAGUACUUAGAGAAAAAUUCAUUGCCUGGAGGUCAUUCCUUAAAAGAAGAAAAAGCCAACAAAUAAAUGACCUCACACUACAUCUCAAAGCCCUAGAAAAAGAAGAACAAAUCAGCAGCAAAUGCAGUAGAAGGCAAGAAAUAAUUAAAAUCAGAGCUGAAAUCAAUGAAAUUAAAACAGAAGAAACAAUUGAAAAAACUGACAAAACUAAAAGUUGGUUCUUUGAAAAAUUAAAUAAGAUCGACAGACCCUUAGCCAUGCUAAUGAAGAGAAGAAGAGACAGAACCCAAAUUACUAGCAUAUGGGAUGAAAAAUGCGAUAUCACAACAGACACUUCAGAAAUACAGAAGAUAAUUAGAAAUUAUUUUGAAACCUUAUACUCUAAUAAAAUAGAAGAUAGUGAAGGCAUCGAUAAAUUCCUUAAGUCAUAUGAUCUGCCCAGACCAAUAUCAAGUGAGGAAAUAGAAGAAGCCAUCAAAAGGCUACCAACCAAGAAAAGCCCAGGACUGGACGGAUAUACAGCAGAGUUUUACAAGACCUUUAAAGAAGAACUAAUACCAAUACUCUGCAAUCUAUUUCAGGAAAUAGAAAAAGAGGGAGUACUUCCAAAUUCAUUCUACAAGGCCAAUAUCACUCUGAUUCCAAAAUCAGACAAAUACACCUCAAAGAAAGAAAACUUCAGACCAAUAUCUCUAAUGAAUAUAGAUCCAAAAAUCCUCAAUAAAAUUCUGGCAAAUUGGAUAUAAAAACAUAUCAAAAAGAUCAUGCACCAUGAUCAAGUGGGAUUCAUCCCCAGGAUGCAAGGUUGGUUCAACAUAUGGAAAUCAAUAAACGUAAUUCACCACAUCAAUAGACUUAAAGAUAAGAACCAUAUGAUCAUCUCGAUAGAUGCAGAAAAAGCAUUUGACAAAAUACAGCACCCCUUUAUGUUCAAAACACUAGAAAAUACACUAAGGAUAACAGGAACUUACCUCAACAUUGUAAAAGCUAUCUAUGCUAAGCCUCAGGCUAGCAUCAUUCUCAAUGGAGAAAAAUUGAAGGCAUCCCCUCUAAAAUCUGGAACAAGACAGGGAUGCCUUCUCUCACCACUUCUAUUCAAUAUAGUUCUUGAAACAUUGGCCAAAGCAAUUAGACAGACGAAAGAAAUUAAAGGAAUAACUAUAGGAAAAGAAGAACUUAAACUAGCACUAUUUGCUGAUGAUAUGAUUCUAUACCUAGAAGAUCCAAAAAACUCUACCAAGAAACUUCUAGAUCUAGUAAAUGAAUUCAGCAAAGUGGCAGGAUAUAAAAUCAACACUCAUAAAUCAAAGGCAUUCCUGUAUAUCAGUGACAAAUCCUCUGAAAAGGAAAUGAGGAAAACUAUCCCAUUCACAAUAUCCUCAAAAACAAAUAAUGAAAUAAAAUACUUGGGAAUCCACUUAACAAAACGGGUGAAAGAUCUAUACAAUGAAAACAAUAGAGCCCUAAAGAGAGAAAUAGAAGAAGACCUUAGAAGAUGGAAAGAUCUACCUUGCUCAUGGAUAGGCAGAAUUAAUAUUAUUAAAAUGACCAUAUUACCAAAAGCACUAUACAGAUUUACCGCAAUUCCAAUCAAAAUCCCAAUGGAAUUCCUCAUAGAAAUAGAGAAAGCAAUCAUGAAAUUCAUCUGGAAAAAUAAGAGACCCAGAAUAGCUAAGUAGUUCUAAGCAGGAAGAGUGAAACAGGUGGUAUCGCUAUACCAGACCUUAAACUAUACUACAGAGCAAUAGUAACAAAAACAGCAUGGUACUGGCACCAAAACAGGCUGGUAGACCAAUGGUACAGAAUAGAGGACACAGAGACUAACCCACAAAAUUACAACUAUCUUAUAUUGAACAAAGGUGCCAAAAGCAUGCUCUGGAGAAAGGAUAGCAUCUUCAACAAAUGGUGCUAGGAAAACUGGAAAUCCAUAUGCAACAAAAUGAAAUUGAAUCCCUAUCUCUCACCAUGCACAAAAGUUAACUCAAAAUGGAUCAAGGAUCUAGGAAUUAAACCAGAGACUCUGCGCAUAAUAGAAGAAAAAGUAGGCCCUAAUCUCCAUCACGUGGGGCUAGGCCCCAACUUCCUUAAUAAGACGCCUAUAGCACAAGAAUUAAAACCAAGAAUUAACAAAUGGGAUGGAUUCAAACUAAAAAGUUUUUUUCUCAGCAAGAGAAAUAAUAUGUGAGGUGAAUAGGGAGCCUAUAUCCUGGGAACAAAUUUUUACCCCUCACACAUCAGAUAGAGCUCUAAUCUCUAGGGUAUAUAAAGAGCUCAACAAGAUAAGCACCAAAAAAAAAAUAAUCCAAUCAAUAAAUGGGCCAAGGACCUGAACAGACACUUCACAGAAGAGGUUAUACAAUCAAUCAACAAAUAUAUGAAAAAAUGCUCAUCAUCUCUAGCAAUCAGAGAAAUGCAAAUUAAAACCACUCUAAGAUAAGUAACCACUCCAGUAAAAGUGGCAGCCAUUCUGAAGACAAACAACAACAAGUGCUGGUGACGAUGCAGGGAAAAAGGCACACUCAUACUCUGCUGGUGGGACUGCAAAUUGUUGCAGCCAAUUUGGAAAGCAGUAAUGGAGAUUCCUUGGAAAGCUGGGAAUGGAACCACCAUUUGACCCAGCUAUCCCUCUUCUUGGACUAUACCCAAAGGACUUAAAAACAGCAUACUACAGGGACACAGCCACAUCAAUGUUUAUAGCAGCACAAUUCACAAUAGCUAAACUGUGGAGCCAAACUAGAUGUCCUUCAGUGGAUGAAUGGAUUAAAAAAUGUGGCAUUUAUACACAAUGGAAUAUUACUCAGCACUAAAAAUAACAAGAUCAUGGCAUUUGCAGGGAAAUGCAUGGCAUUAGAGCAGAUUAUGCUAACUGAAGUUAGCCAAUCCCUAAAAACAAAUGCCAAUGGGGAGGGGGUGACUCAAAAUGGGGUAAGGAGGAAGAGCAUUGGAAGAAGAUUACCUCUAGAUAGGGAAGGUGGGUGGGAGGGAAAGGGAGGGAGAAAGGAAAUUGCAUGAAUGGUGGAAGGAGACCUUCAUCAUUGUACAAAAUACGUGUAUGAAGAUGUGAAUUUGGUGUCAACAUAUCUUGUAUACAGAGAUAUGAUAAAUUGUGGUAUAAAGGUGUAUUAAUAAUUGUAAUGCAAAAUAAUAAUAAUAAUAAAGCUCACGUAAAAAAAUAAAUAAAUAAAAAUAAAAAAAAAUAAAUAAAACAGGAACCAACUAGUGAGAACUCCCCCAUAAGAAGGCACGGUUUUCACAGCUCUAGCGGUGCAAGCAGGAGAGUUGGGGGGAGAGAAACAGAAACAAAGAUAAAGUGAGAAAGAGACAGACAGGUGUGCAUGUGCACACACACACACACACACACACAGAGGACAAAACAUCUCAAAGCACCCAGAAUACAGCUAUCCCCAACUCGAAACAGGACAGGGAAGAACCUAAGUGCUCUUGGGAAAAGACAUCACAGAACACGGACAUCUGAGGGUGAACAGUGUGGAGGUGAUUGAGAAGCAUCUAUUUUGACUUUUUAAAUUCAACAUAUUAAGGCAUAAAACUCUACAAAUUACACUGAUGCACAUUCACAUGCUUACAGUCUAUAGGAUUGUUUCCUCCCAUCAUUCACUUUCCACUAGACUUAGCUUCCACAGAUGCCAGCUGUUUUCCAUAGGAACCAGCCCAGUGUGAAGGUUCAGUACUAGUCUCUGCUACAUUACAUUUGACCAAAAAGCAUUUGCCAAAGCAAAUCAUAUGGUCAAGUCUAAAGUCAGGGUUUGCAGGGAAUGAACACUUGGAGGUGUGAUUCAUUUGGGAUCACCAGUGUAGCAGUCUAGCACAAUCCCCUCAUCUGUCCAGAUACUCAAAGAGGAUCAAGGUCAUUCCAGGUGCAGCCUCUGGGAUAUCGGCACAGUCCUUUCAUGUGCCACAGCAAGGCUGCUCAGGACCUUGUUCUGUUCUCAUCGCCUACUGAUAUCUGGUUCCAAUACAUUGAUGAUACCCUGUUACUGGAGAAAAUCGUAUUCUGUUAUACUUAUAAAUACACGAUUAUUAUUUGUCAAUUAAGAAUAAAAUAAACCAAUAUAAUCAGUGAGCCUCUAGGUGGGCAAACAAAGAAAAAAAAAGAAGACACAAAUCACCAAUACCAGAAAUUAAAUAGAUAGCAUCGAUACAGAUCACAUGGACAUCAAAAGGACAAAUAAAGGAAUACCAUAAACAAAUCUAUGCCCACAAACUCAAUAACCUACAUAAAAUGGAAUGAUUUCUUGAAAGGCAAAUAUGCCAAAUCUAUCACAAAAAGAAAUGAACAAAUUGAAUAGGACUGCAUCUAUCUAAGAUGCUAAAUUAAUAAUAAAUCAUAACAACCUUCCCAAACAGAAAGCACCAGGCCUAGAGUAGUUCCAAAUUAAUCCUAACAUACAUUUGAGGAAGAAAUUAUGUCAGCUGCAAGAUUCAAGAUGGCAGCCUAGAGGAAGCCUGCAUUCCUCGUUGCUCUGUGACCUGGGACUCCAGCAGCAGGAGUACUGCUUCUUUGUGAGGUGGGUGAAAGAGGGAUUUCAUUAAAACUCCAUAUUGGUUGGCCAGGGUAUCUUAGAGACUCAGAAAUUUGGGUCUAUUAAACUAAGAAGAAAGACUACAUUGGAGCCAAGCCAGUUGCCAAUUUAGUAUGGAACAUCCUGAGAUCCGAAAAGGAGCCGGCCCUUAGUUGAUCCAGGGGCUAGACUGUGCACUGGUACAUGAAAAGUGCCCACGUUUCCCAAAUGCCACAGAGAGCUGAAGAAGGAGCCAUCCUGAGGUUGCCACAUUGCAGAUGCUGCUGCAAGAGCUGGAAGACCUGAGCAAACAUGGCUACAAGGUCCGAGCAAGUGCCUGCCCUUUGACCUAGGCGAUGCCGAGCAGAAUAAGAGCAAAACAGGUGGAGAGCAAACUUUACCAAGGGGGAUUCUAGUCAGAAAAGGGAAGGGGAGCCCAAUUCACUUCCCCCUUUGAAUCUGGUAGAUCAUGUGACCAGCUAGGCACAUCAGGAAUCUGAAGAGGCAGGUGUGACUAAGCCCAGGGACUAAGCCCAGCAAGCCUGGACAGGCAGGUUCAUGGGCAGCAGAAGGACUGAAGAAUUGGCUCCCCGACCCAGCAAGUGAAAUCCUAGGGAGACUCCCAAGAUCCAGACUCUCAGCAGAUUGACAACUGCCAGGCCCUAGGGGUGUACCCAUAUAAUCUCUGCAGAGCAGGCACCACCCAGCAAUGGCCCUGUGGCCUCAUUAGACCUCAUGGAACUCUGCAGCUGCUCCAGCCUGGGAAUCCCUCCAUGUGCUCUGAGCAGACAGCACUUCCCAUCCUGCCUAGUCCUGGUGAGAAGGGAAGCGGAUAAUUUUUGGACCAACUUCAGACUUAGGUCACUCCAGCUGGCAGCUUGGUGAACAACACAAAAAGAGGAAAGAUUUGACAACCCUCAGCCCUUCUUCUCACACUCAGUGCACAGCUCAAGAAAACAGGAAAAGAAAGACAACCAGGCACAGCCAGUGGCCAUCUACUCUCAUGCACUAUUUUGACCAUCUCAAUGGAGAUGCCUCCUUAGUUUUCCGUUAACAAUCUUUUUUUUCCUUCUGUGUGUGUGUGUGUGUGUGUGUGUGCGCACGGUGCGCCUGUGUGUGCUGUGCUAAUUGGUUCACAGACUAUAUAUGUAUACAUUUGUUUCUUUUUUUCCCAUUGCCUUGCCUUUCAGGGUUAGGGUUUUUCAUUACUAUAUUUUGAUUUUUGUUUUCGUAUCGUUUUUCAUUUGUGUUUCUCUUGUUUCUUUUUCUCUCUUUUCUUCUGCUAACAGCCAAAUUCUAUUACUCUUUCACUCUCCGUGUAUUUUGUUUCUUACAUUUUUCUCCUCCUUUCUUAUCACUAUCAUAUCCUACAUUCUAUUUACUUUUUGAAAUUAUAAACUCUUUUUGACCUUCCUACCUGUACAUUUUCUUUUCUGUAAAUUAACUAUUUUCUUACCAUCUUUUAGCACUAAUUGUUUUUCUAUAAGCCCUGCCCCCAAUAUUAAUGCUGUUGCAAUUGUUACUGCUAUGGGUGACAUAGCUGACAUCUGUUGUUUGCUUUGAUGCCAGAUAUAGUUCACGGUUACUUAUCGUUUUUGGUGAUGGCAAUUGCUAACCCUAUCAUUUCUGUUUAUUGUGGUGCGUUAACAUUAUAGAUGGCAUAGUAGAAACCAAUGCUGUAUAUUGUUUGCAUUGGUUGUUGCUAUUGUUGUUUCCCCUUAUUCUGUGAGGUUCUGGGAACCUACAGAGACACUACAAGUUCACAGGGUAGAAACUCUGCUGCUGAAUUAAACCAAAAGACAGCUUACCUUGCUCUACACACCAAUUAAUGACACUCAAUCUUCAGCUAUACUUUAAUACAAAGAAUCAAAGACACAAAAACCCAAACUUAUGACCAAGCCCCAAGUAGAAACUGCUGGGGUUGGUCCCCCAGUCUCACCUAAGGACAUUCAUUGCUAUAGUAAAAACAGAGAGAAAUGGACACCACACCCAUGAAAGGGUCUCAAUACAGGUCAUUCUAGGACACUUUAGGAAAUGAAAACUGCCCUAAAAAGGACCUCACAGAGUGGAGGAGAAAUUCCUUCCAAUAGAUGAAAUAAAACAACACAGGAAUACAAAAAAUAUUUAAAAACAAUGACACCUCCUAAAGGCCAUACUUCAAUAGUAAAUGAUGACAAAAAUACUGAAGUGGAUGAAAUAUCAGAUAAGGAACUCAAAAGAAUCAUUUAAAAAUGAUAUCAUCUAUAUUAGCCUCCCCACACUUAAAUACUCAGAAAAAACUAACAAAAUAUUUGUGGGCUCUGUGUGAAAAAGAACUAAUAAACUGUUACGGAAUAAACCAAAGGAUUAAAUGAAUGAGGAGACAGUUGAUGUUCACAUGGAUAGAAAAACUGAAUAUCAUUAAGAUGUCAGUUCUUUCCAACUCAGCUCUACAGAGUGAAUGCAAUCCCAACAGAAUCCCAGCAAGGUAAUUUGUGGAGCCUGAAAUACUGAUUUUUAAAGUUUGUAAAAGAGAGGCAAAAACCCAGGAUAGUGAAAACAACACUGGGGAUAAACAAGUGGCUGAUAAUACCUGACUUCAAGACCUACUGUGGAGCAACACUCAUCCAGGACAGUGGGAUAUUGGAGAAAGAACAGAAAACAGUCAGUGGAACAGCAUGGACAGCCCAGAAGCAGACCCUCAUCAGUAGAGCCAAACUGAAGCGGAGGGGAACACAGCUGCGCGGAGCAGAGAUCCUUCCAGCAAGUGGGGCUGCCUGAUCUGGACGUCCCCAUCACCACGGCUACCACCACAUGUGGAAGGAGAGACUCAGAGAGAAAGGAGGGAGGCCAGGUGCAGUGAAUCAGGCCUGGAAUCCCAGCAACUCGGGAGGCUGAGGCAGGAGGAUCACAAGUUCAAAGCCAGCCUCGCAACUUAGUGACACCCUAAGCAUACUGAGACCCUGUCUCAAAAUAAAAAGGACUGGGGAUGUGGCUCAGUGGUUAAGAAGGAAGAAAAGAAAGGAAGGAAGGAGGGAGGGAGGGAGGAAAGGAAGGAAGGAGAAGGGGGAAGAAAAAUACUUGUAGAAAUAAGGGCUGGAAAUUUCCUGAAUCUAGGUUCAAUGUUUCCCCUCUUUAAAAAUAACAAAAAAAAUAUCCAUUCCUAGACACAUCAGAGUUUCUACCCUGUGAAAAGGCAAAGAGAAAAUCUUAAAGGGCGCAGAGGAAAAAUUCUCCAGAUUCAUCCUUUUUCUAGCAAAUAAAUGUCAAGAUAUACUCUGUCACGUAUAAGUAAGGACAAAUUUUUAAAAAACAAAAAACAAAAACAACUCCCCUGUGCACAAGGAUGAGAUUUUCAGCUGACUUCCAAUCAGAAACAAUUGAAGGAGGCUGUGGGUGGCGUAUUCAAGGCGGGGGGUGGGGGGCGGCGGGUGGGGAGAGAGUCACCCAAAGAGUCCAUGUCUAGUAAAUCUAUCCUUUAAUAACGAAGAAAAAUAUGCUGCCAGAUAAACUCAGCCUGAGAAAAUUUGCUGCCAGCAGUACAAGAAACACUAAGGAAGGCUUUUGGGUGACAAGAAAUUCUUCAUUCUUAGAUGUGAAAGCAUGGGGUUGAUUUGUCAAAGGGUGUGUGGGUGUGUGGAUGUGCACUUGUGUAUGUACACAAGUCUCCAAAAUUUCUUCUACAUUUUAAGUGUUACUUACUAAGGAAUCAGCAUACAAAAAAAAUAGCUUUUGAAAAACUUAUUUCAAAUUCAUGAAUUUUUAUAAGUAUUUUUUUUUUUUUGUUUAAGACCCUUUAGCUGAAGACAGUAAAAUUACUGGAAAAUUCUAAAAACUUUUUAUUCAAAAUUCACAAAGCUAAAUAAGUACAAAAUAAAUUUCAGUUCCAUGAUGCAAGACAAGAACAUAUAAUGUGGGUGAGUUUAAGUCGCUGAGAGAAGAAAUGGAGAAAGAAAUAAUCACUUUGAAAUAAUAAUUCCAGAGACAACUCCCAUUUUCACAAACUAUGAAAAAGGAUGUUCAAGCAGAGAUCUGCAAGCAAACAGGUAAUUUCUGCGUUCCCUGGUGAACAACAGAAAAUGCACUAAAGUCUACAUCUGACAAGUUGAGCAGGUGGAAUUGGAAGGGAGGAUCUAGAAGGCCCAGGAGGGUGGAGGAGGGGUGUAGUGCAGCCUCUUCUGACCACCCUCCCCCCAUUCUCAAGAUCCCUUUGUGAUGAGGGGUCAUAGCUCUUGUGAUGCUGGCCUGAGCCCUACUCCCUGCUCUCAAAGGGAGCUCUCAGGACGAAGCUACCUGAGAGUGACUUUACAAUUCAGAUAAUGAGUCCUCUCUUUCCUCUGAAAAGAAUUAAUGCCAUUUAGCUGAGUCCCAGCUCCACCACCUGGGUGAUGGAAAUAAUCCUUGCCUUUGUGGGGGGACUGGUGCUCUUUAUCCUGUUAGGCCCUUACUUCUCGCUGCCGCCUUUGAAAAACAGGAAUAUCAAAAAGGUAAGGAGACUUUGAUCAAAACACAACAGACAAUGAUUCUCUUUUUCCUACUCUUCUUUCCUCUUAUCAAACGUACGGAGAGGUGGGACAUCUCAGGAAAGAAUAGAGCGUCGUUCUUCUGGGUCAGGUGGGGCAGGGCCGGGAGAGAGUCUGCCCUAAGACUUCUCCUGUCUGAAGCCCUCGGACCAUCUGGGUGGUGAGCUUCAGGUCCCACAGCAAGACAUACACUGUGGUCGAGGACUGGAUUCCUGAGAGAGGUUGGGGACCUCUGGGCAGGAACACUAGUCAUCAGCAACCUUCUCCUAGCAGAUGCCUCUGAACUAAUGUAUCCCUGGGUGUUGGGCUGAGGGGAGGGCUGUGCUGAGGGCCCCUGUCACCGGCUGGAGUCCCCUCUGGCCUCAGGGAGCACAACCUGCCUGGCAGCUGAGAAGAGCCUGUGGAAAGGAGUCUGUCAGACCCUCAGUGGCUGAGGACAUCCAUGAUGGAGCUUACACAGAAAAUCCCCUUUUGUGUUUUCCCAAGAAGAAAACCAAAGUCUAGUAUUUUAUCUACUUGAAAAGUGAGUGAAAGAGAAGGACACAGACUUCCGUGAUUUAAAUGUAGGAGGCAUGUGACUCAGAAACGUGAGCUUGCAGCUUUUCUAUGAAGAGAAUGAGGACUGGGCACCAACCCCUUUUUCUUUCUUGUCUCUCAACAUCAGAUAGAGAAGAGGUGUAGGAAGAAAAGCAAGAAGAAGAGAAGCAUUCUGAAAGGUAAGGCUCCACCCUUCCUCCAGAGGUGACUUGAUCUCUUUUCCUGUCUCUGAGGACAUCAGUUAGAGAGCCUCAGAGGGAGGGUCCUGAGAAGAAAACCAGAACUCAGGAUUUCUCCAGCUCUGUGCUCUGAACGCAGCCUGGCGGGCCAGAAGGGGAGCAAGGCUGCCAAGUUUGUGGAGGGCCCUCCGGGUCCUCCUGUGGAGAAGUCUUUCAUUUUGCU
RNAcentral lists this long non-coding RNA (20368 nucleotides) under Marmota monax (woodchuck). The record is from RNAcentral. Lineage: Eukaryota; Metazoa; Chordata; Mammalia; Rodentia; Sciuridae.